Molecule: long non-coding RNA, 453 nt
Filed under: Salvia miltiorrhiza (redroot sage)
Lineage: Eukaryota; Viridiplantae; Streptophyta; Magnoliopsida; Lamiales; Lamiaceae
Description: long non-coding RNA (SMIL_LNC014434)
Source: RNAcentral
AUUUGAAUUCACGGCAUCGGUUUAUUUUUUGAGAGAGAGUGAGAGAGAGAGGCAGCCGAGAAAGAGAGAUAGAGGAGAAAGAGCAUCUGGUCCAUUUUUGAGAGAGAGGAGAGCAUUCACGUCUUGCAUACACCGAAGGUAAAUUGGAAUGAAUAUUUUUUUUUUGCUUUGUUUUUCUUGUUUGUCCCAUGUUUGAAUGAGAAUCAAUUUUUUUGAACUUGAAGGAGGGCUUGCACGAUUUUUUCAACUUGAAGGCAUAUACCAUGGCUUCUUCUUCAAACCAAGUAAGUAUCCUAUUUCGUUGAUUUUAUUUAAAUUCUUGAAUAAGGAUGUUAUUUUCCACAACAAGUUGAAGCAUGUUAUUUUCGUGAAUUAUUUUGGUGACAUUGUUUAAUUCGAAUUACUUGUGUUUAAUUAUGUUCGUGAAUUGGGUAGUCAUUUUGGUUGAAUUAG